GUGCUUUUUUUGGCAGUACAUAUACUAAAAUUGAAAUGAUACAGAGAAGAUUAGCAUGGGCCCUGAGCAAAGAUGGCACACAAAUUCGUAAAGCGUUCCAUAUUUUU
Molecule: small nuclear RNA, 107 nt
Organism: Protopterus annectens (West African lungfish)
Lineage: Eukaryota; Metazoa; Chordata; Ceratodontiformes; Protopteridae
Source: RefSeq, a predicted model, not a curated record